UGCGUCACCGAUCCAAAGUCUGUUGGAACAGUAGAAAGGAUGGUGCUGCACGUACUUGGAUGGUUGAAGUGGAUCUGUUUAUGGAGAAUGAUGACUAAGAGUAGAGACCCUUGGAAGAAGCUAGCUGCAAAAUCUACUGGAAGAGCUCAUGAAGCAACAUGAAGACUCCUGUGGACUUAUGUAAAUGUUUAUCUGGACUUUGCAUGAGACUGUUUUGAUCCUGUGAUAGAUGUACACCCAUAAAUAAAAGACUCUGAUUGUGUUUUCUU
Molecule: long non-coding RNA, 269 nt
Organism: Protopterus annectens (West African lungfish)
Lineage: Eukaryota; Metazoa; Chordata; Ceratodontiformes; Protopteridae
Exons: 2
Source: RefSeq, a predicted model, not a curated record